Molecule: long non-coding RNA, 2116 nt
Filed under: Homo sapiens (human)
Lineage: Eukaryota; Metazoa; Chordata; Mammalia; Primates; Hominidae
Description: HSALNT0361903
Source: RNAcentral
AGAUUACUUCCUCCUUCUUGGCCCCAGAUGCACUUGGUUGCACGCUCUGGUUCCCAAACCCCCGGCCGCUGGCUUAUGCAAAUCACUUAGGUACAUGCAAAAGUAUCCCUUCUCCCGGAGCGCCAUUGGCCCGGGGAGGUCUCGAGCUCAUUACUAUGCAGAGAGGAGAGCCGCCAUUGGCCAAGAGGAGGACCAGAGGGGCGUGUUUCUCGGGCAAAUUGGAUCUCCUAAAUUGGAUGACCUGGCUAAUGUUAAAACAUACUUCGUGAUCUGUAGAACGUAAGAGAAAAUUUAGAAAAUGUUUGAUAUGAAAGAGAAAAUGAAGGAUGUUGCGAUAAUAGGGAAAAACUUUAUAGUAAUUCUACCAAUUUGCCCCUUUUAUUCUAAAAUAACACAAACUUGUCAAGCUUUUCAACAUUUUUUGAAUUUUUUUUUUUUUUUUUUGAGAUGGAGUUUCACUCUGUUGCCCAGGCUGGAGUGCAGUGACAUGAUCUUGGCUCACUGCAACCUCCACCUCCUGGGUUCAAGCAAUUCUCCUGUCUCAGCCUCCCAAGUAGCUGGGAUUACAGGCCUGCACUACCAUGCCUGGCUAAUUUUGUAUUUUUGGUAGAGACGGGGUUUCACCAUGUUGGCCAGACUGGUCUCGAACUCCUGACCUCAGGUGAUCCACCCCGCCUCGGCCUCCCAAAGUGCUGGAAUUACAGGCAUGAGCCACUGCACCCAGCUGGAUUUUGUUUUUCAAGGACUAUUUACCACAUACCUACUUUUCAAAAUGUACUCCGCUAGGUACUGAAGAGUUUUGACUGAUGCAGGGCUGUCUGCAUGUAAAUCACCCUGGGAAGGUUUGUAAUACAGAAGUUCCAAGAUUCCAUCUCCAUUGAUUCUAUUAUAGAAGGUCUCUGUGGGUCCCUGAAUUCCCAGUGUUUAAAAAGUUCCUGAUUCUGAUGUAGGCCUCCACCACUAACCAAGACGUAUGACUUUUUGCUACAAGAUAAGGCAAGUGUGGGUCCUCUGAGAAGCAGACAUCAAUAUGGGAUUACUCAUGCAAGAGAUUUGUUAGGGGAAGUGAUUGUGAAGGGAAAAUGGGGAGGGAGCUAAGGGCGUCUGAGAAACCAUCAGAUUGAGAUGUGGGUCUGGCCCCAGGUGAGGAGGUGAAGGAAGGAAAAGAGUCUUAGAUUUCAGUGCAGUUCUAUAAAAUUUCAGCAAAGCCACAAAAAUUAUCUGCCAGAGUCUCACGUCUCCCAGGAACAGGACUGCCUUAGUAUCUCAGCCAUGCUCAGUCAUGGGCUGGGACCAGCCCAUAGGAAGUGUGGCCUUGGCACAAACAGGGUGAAGGAUUUUACCUUAGGACUGUUAGUCAAUUAGUGUCCCCACAGUGAGAGGUCUGACAGGUGCCUUUCACUGCAGCCCCAGGAUAUAAGGUACGACAUGGAGCUCUCCUACAAGCAGUUUACAAUUCAACUUUCAGAAUGUAGAAACACAGGGUUAGAAAAGACAUUAACGCUAGUUUAAUUACCUUCCUAAGGCUUAAGAAGGCUGAACAGCAUCCCUGCUAUUCUUGGAUACCUUAGAGUUGGCAUAUUCAUACCUCCAUGGGGAGUAGUCCAUCUUUGGGCACUUCUGGCUGUUAGAAAGUUGUAUUACGUUGUGACAAACUGUUUCUUCUUGAUGCUUUAAAAAUUAGAAAUAAGGCUGGGUGUGGUGGCUUACGCCUGUAAUCCCAGCACUUUGAGAAGCUGAGGCGGGAGGAUUGCUUGAGCUCAGGAGUUCAAGACCAGCUUGGGCAACAGCGAGACCUCAUCUCUACUUAAAAAAACAAACAAACAAACAAACAAACAAACAAAAAAACACAUAGCUCUCUGGGCUUAGACUUAGUUUGCGGUGACAUGGCCAAAUGCACCAAGAAAGUCAGAAUCAUCAGUAAAUAUGGGACCCGCUAUGGGGCCUCCCUCCGGAAAAUGGUGAAGAAGAAUUGAAAUCACCCAGCACACCAAGUACAUUUGCUCUUUCUGUGGCAAAACCAAGAUGAAGAGAUGAGCUACGGGGAUCUGGCACUGUGGUUUCUGCAUGAAGACAGUGGCUGGCAGUGCCUGGACCUACAAUACCACUUCUGCUG